This 468-nucleotide ribosomal RNA is filed under the name uncultured bacterium. RNAcentral's name for it is "partial 16S ribosomal RNA". It matches the Rfam family "Bacterial small subunit ribosomal RNA", at positions 28 to 507 of the family's 1533-position model. The record is from RNAcentral.
GACGAACGCUGGCGGCGUGCUUAACACAUGCAAGUCGAACGGAAAGAUCCUGCUGUUUUCGCUUGCUCAAGUUGCCAACGAGUGGGUAACAAGUGAGUAACCUGCCCUUGACUUUGGGAUAACUUCCGAAUACUGAGGCUAAUACCGGAUAGGUGCUACUACUUCAUGGUGGGGGUUGGAAAGAUUGUGGGGUUGGGGAUGGCCUUGAGGUUUAUUUGCUUGUUAGUGGGGUAGUGGCUUGCCAAGGCCUCGGCAGGUAGCCGGCCUGAGGGGGUGACCGGCCACCUUGGGACUGAGAUACGGACCAGACUCGUACCGGCGGCAACGGUGGGGAAUAUUGCACAAUGGGCGGAAGCCUGAUGCAGAAAAGUCGCGUGCGGGAUGACGGCCUUCGGGUGGUAAACCGCUUUGGCCUGUCAAGAAGCGUGAGUGACGGUACUGGGUAAAAAAGCAACGGCUAACUACGUG